Molecule: ribosomal RNA, 442 nt
Filed under: uncultured bacterium
Lineage: Bacteria
Description: bacterial SSU rRNA
Rfam family: Bacterial small subunit ribosomal RNA
Source: RNAcentral
AACGCGAAGAACCUUACCUGGGCUCGAAGCGCAGUGGAAUCCGGUGGAAACAUCGGCGCCCCUUAAAAGGCUGCUGCGGAGGUGCUGCAUGGCUGUCGUCAGCUCGUGUCGUGAGAUGUUGGGUUAAGUCCCGCAACGAGCGCAACCCUUAUCGUUAGUUGCCAGCGGGUUAUGCCGGGCACUCUAGCGAAACCGCCCCGGAUAACGGGGAGGAAGGUGGGGAUGACGUCAAGUCAGCACGGCCUUUAUGUCCAGGGCUACACACGUGUUACAAUGCACGGUACAGACUGUUGCGAACCCGCGAGGGGGAGCUAAUCGGAUAAAACCGUGCUCAGUUCGGAUUGCAGUCUGCAACUCGGCUGCAUGAAGCUGGAAUCGCUAGUAAUGGCGUAUCAGAUCGACGCCGUGAAUACGUUCCCGGGCCUUGUACACACCGUGUCGA